Molecule: ribosomal RNA, 460 nt
Filed under: uncultured bacterium
Lineage: Bacteria
Description: partial 16S ribosomal RNA
Rfam family: Bacterial small subunit ribosomal RNA
Source: RNAcentral
CCUACGGGAGGCAGCAGUGAGGAAUAUUUGUCAAUGGGCGCGAGCCUGAACCAGCCAAGUAGCGUGAAGGAUGAAUGCCCUACGGGUUGUAAACUUCUUUUAUAAAGGAAUAAAGUGAGGCACGUGUGCCUUUUUGUAUGGACUUUAUGAAUAAGGAUCGGCCAACCCCGGUCCAGCAGCCGCGGGAAUACGGAGGGGCCGAGAGUUGGUCGGGAUUAAUGGGUUUAAAGGGAGCGUAGAUGGGUUGGUAAGGCAGGUGUGAAAGUUUGGGGCUCAACCCUUAAACUGAAAUUGAUACUGGCAGCCUUGAGUACAGUUGAGGUAGGCGGAAUUCGUGGUGUAGCGGUGAAAUGCUUAGAUAUCACGAAGAACUCCGAUUGCGAAGGCAGCUUACUAAACUGCAACUGACAUUGAUGCUCGAAAGUGUGGGUAUCAAACAGGAUUAGAUACCCUUGUAGUC